GACGAACGCUGGCGGCGUGCUUAACACAUGCAAGUCGAACGGUAAGGCCCUUCGGGGUACACGAGUGGCGAACGGGUGAGUAACACGUGGGUGAUCUGCCCUGCACUUUGGGAUAAGCCUGGGAAACUGGGUCUAAUACCGAAUAUGACCAUGGACUUCACGGUUUGUGGUGGAAAGCUUUUUGCGGUGUGGGAUGGGCCCGCGGCCUAUCAGCUUGUUGGUGGGGUAAUGGCCUACCAAGGCGACGACGGGUAGCCGGCCUGAGAGGGUGACCGGCCACACUGGGACUGAGAUACGGCCCAGACUCCUACGGGAGGCAGCAGUGGGGAAUAUUGCACAAUGGGCGCAAGCCUGAUGCAGCGACGCCGCGUGGGGGAUGACGGCCUCGGUU
This 391-nucleotide ribosomal RNA is filed under the name uncultured bacterium. Its description in RNAcentral is "bacterial SSU rRNA". It matches the Rfam family "Bacterial small subunit ribosomal RNA", at positions 28 to 424 of the family's 1533-position model. The record is from RNAcentral.